GCCACUUUAGCUUGGAGGCAGAGCAUCUGCUUUGCAUGCAGAAGGUCCCAGGUUCUAUCCCCGGCAUCUCCAAGUAGGGCA
Molecule: non-coding RNA, 81 nt
Organism: Podarcis lilfordi (Lilford's wall lizard)
Lineage: Eukaryota; Metazoa; Chordata; Lepidosauria; Squamata; Lacertidae
Source: the annotation of a GenBank genome assembly